CAGAUCUUUCUUGGAGGUCAGCUGGAACUCCCACUGACCUCUUUGCAGCUACAUUUACACCAACACAAAGCAGCUGAUGCAUUGGAGAGCUAGAGAACCUGAAAAAGAAGGCAAGAAUUUCUCCUUCGCUGAAACUGUAUGUCUGAUUGUAGAGAUGUUUCCCUGCUGCUGGCAGUAAGCUGCAGGAAAAAUGGGACAAUCCUUGGAAGAGAACAAGAGGUGACUGAACGUGCAGCCAUGCAGCUAAUGCACCGAGUGGGCAUUCCAGCAGCCUGGAAAAUGAUUAUUUAUGGUGUGGCUGUGUCCACAAUGACCUGGGUGCUUUCCAAAUACAAGGGAAAAAAACCAUCCUUGCACCCAACAGCGAAGGCUGUUCGAGGACAGCCUCAGCAAAGAAACAAGCUACUGGAGCUGAAGACAGACAUAACUAAUUUUCUUAAGGGAAUUGCUCUCUUUAAUGUCAAUACUUGCAACCAUACUAAUAUCAGUGCUAUUACUACUAAUUACUACUAUUACUACUAAAAUCCUGUCUCUUUUACAAGUAUCUUCACUGUUUACCUUUUCUCCACAACCAAGAUUCCUUAUGUUCUCCCUUUUAUCAGGUCAAAAAUUUUUUUGGUAAAAAGUGAGUCAUAUACCCCUAAGCUAUUAAGAGGUAACAGUCUGCAGUUUUAGGGGCUGGGAUAACUUACAGCCACACAGAAUUUAAAAGUGAAUAAAUCUUGUGCAGCAGUUUGCCCCAUGUUCUCAA
Molecule: long non-coding RNA, 751 nt
Organism: Hirundo rustica (Barn swallow)
Lineage: Eukaryota; Metazoa; Chordata; Aves; Passeriformes; Hirundinidae
Exons: 2
Source: RefSeq, a predicted model, not a curated record